UUUCAUAUGUUUCUUCCUUUUUGCUAAUUCCAAAGGGGGAGAAGACUUGGUUCUCUAAUGGUUUCUCUAUGCAGAAUUUUGUAUGCCUCUCAUUUAGGGGGAGUUCUUAAACUUAGGGGGAGAAUCAAAUUAGAGAAACUUCACUUUCAAGCAUCUAUCUCAAAGUUGGUUGUCAUCAUCAAAAAGGGGGAGAUUGUAGAAGCAAGCUUCAAUCCAAAAAGUAUUUUGAUGAAGACAACAUGUAU
Molecule: long non-coding RNA, 245 nt
Filed under: Lathyrus oleraceus (garden pea)
Lineage: Eukaryota; Viridiplantae; Streptophyta; Magnoliopsida; Fabales; Fabaceae
Description: Pisum sativum (pea) long non-coding RNA (PSAT_LNC002344)
Source: RNAcentral